This is a long non-coding RNA of Oncorhynchus tshawytscha (Chinook salmon), 725 nucleotides long. NCBI's taxonomy places the organism in Eukaryota, Metazoa, Chordata, Actinopteri, Salmoniformes, Salmonidae. The record is from Ensembl.
CUCUAGAAUGAUCUCUGAAAUUUGGGCUGACCGCGCCCAUUGCCACACCCCAUGCCCCACCCCCUACUACACCCACCACAUAAGCCCCUUAUUGAUCCAGAAAAAACCUGCACACUGUAGCAAGAGUCACAUGUAGUAAGUAAUACCUGGAAGGCACAGUGAGUCUUGCUCCUGCUAAGAAACUUCAGACUCCCAAAAUGUCUAUCAUAAUUCAUUAUAUAACAAGCGGUAAUUAAUCAAUGGAGGUGUAUUAUACUUAGUUAAAUGAAGUGCAGAUCAUUACAGAUCUCUGAGUAAUUAUUCUAUGUUCGUGAUUAAUUAUGUGGCUGAUUACUGAUGGAGGAUCAGCACCAGUCAAAUAUGAUUUUUUUUUUUUUUUUACAAUUUACUGAACGUACUGCUAAGAAUGUCUCAGGGACAAUGGGGCUCAGGUAGCCUACAGUACAGGGACAAUGGGGCUCAGGUACCCUACAGUACAGGGACAAUGGGGCUCAGGUAGUCUACAGUACAGUGACAAUGGGGCUCAGGUAGCCUACAGUACAGUGACAAUGGGGCUCAGGUAGCCUACAGUACAGGGAGAAUGGGGCUCAGGUAGCCUACAGUACAGUAACAAUGGGGCUCAGGUAGCCUACAGUACAGUGACAAUGGGGCUCAGGUAGCCUACAGUACAGGGACAAUGGGGCUCAGGUAGCCUACAGUACAGGGACAAUGGGGCUCAGGUAGCC